AGCUGUACCUGAAACCAAGCACCUGUUUGUGACUUGGCUUCAGUUACUAGC
Gorilla gorilla gorilla (western lowland gorilla) is the source of this 51-nucleotide microRNA precursor. Lineage: Eukaryota; Metazoa; Chordata; Mammalia; Primates; Hominidae. The record is from Ensembl.